RNAcentral lists this ribosomal RNA (264 nucleotides) under uncultured bacterium. Its description in RNAcentral is "partial 16S ribosomal RNA". It matches the Rfam family "Bacterial small subunit ribosomal RNA", at positions 793 to 1055 of the family's 1533-position model. The record is from RNAcentral.
GUCCACGCCCUAAACGAUGUCAACUGGGUGUUGGGGAAGCGAUUCCUCGGUACCGUAGCUAACGCGUGAAGUUGACCGCCUGGGGAGUACGGCCGCAAGGUUAAAACUCAAAGGAAUUGACGGGGACCCGCACAAGCGGUGGAUGAUGUGGAUUAAUUCGAUGCAACGCGAACAACCUUACCUACCCUUGACAUGUCUGGAAGCCUGCUGAGAGGCGGGUGUGCUCGAAAGAGAACCGGAACACAGGUGCUGCAUGGCUGUCGU